RNAcentral lists this ribosomal RNA (233 nucleotides) under uncultured bacterium. Its description in RNAcentral is "partial 16S ribosomal RNA". It matches the Rfam family "Bacterial small subunit ribosomal RNA", at positions 104 to 334 of the family's 1533-position model. The record is from RNAcentral.
CGGGGUGAGUAACGCGUGGAUAACCUGCCUCACACUGGGGGAUAACAGUUAGAAAUGACUGCUAAUACCGCAUGAGCGCACAGUACCGCAUGGUACGGUGUGAAAAACUACCGGUGGUGUGAGAUGGAUCCGCGUCUGAUUAGCCAGUUGGCGGGGUAACGGCCCACCAAAGCGACGAUCAGUAGCCGACCUGAGAGGGUGACCGGCCACAUUGGGACUGAGACACGGCCCAA